UCGUACGAGAGUUUUUAACUCAAGUGGCGGACGGGUGAGUAACACGUAAGAAUUUGCCUUUAGGAGGGGGACAACAACUGGAAACGGUUGCUAAUACCCCAUAUGCUUUCGAGUAAAAUGGUUUUUCCGCCUAAAGAGAAGCUUGCGGCUGAUUAGCUUGUUGGUGAGGUAAUGGCUCACCAAGGCGACGAUCAGUAUCUGGUUUGAGAGGACGAUCAGACACACUGGAACUGAGACACGGUCCAGACUCCUACGGGAGGCAGCAGUGGGGAAUUUUCCGCAAUGGGCGAAAGCCUGACGGAGCAAUACCGCGUGAGGGAUGACGGCCUAUGGGUUGUAAACCUCUUUUUUCAGGGAGGAAUAAAUGACGUGUACCUGAGGAAUAAGCAUCGGCUAACUCCGUGCCAGCAGCCGCGGUAAGACGGAGGAUGCAAGUGUUAUCCGGAAUCACUGGGCGUAAAGCGUCUGUAGGUGGUCCAAUAAGUCAACUGUUAAAUCUUGAGGCUCAACCUCAAAAUCGCAGUCGAAACUAUUAGACUAGAGUAUAGUAGGGGUAAAGGGAAUUUCCAGUGGAGCGGUGAAAUGCGUAGAGAUUGGAAAGAACACCGAUGGCGAAGGCACUUUACUGGGCUAUUACUAACACUGAGAGACGAAAGCUAGGGUAGCAAAUGGGAUUAGAUACCCCAGUAGUCCUAGCCGUAAACAAUGGAUACUAGAUGUUGAACAGAUCGACCUGUGCAGUAUCAAAGCUAACGCGUUAAGUAUCCCGCCUG
RNAcentral lists this ribosomal RNA (773 nucleotides) under uncultured bacterium. RNAcentral describes it as "bacterial SSU rRNA". It matches the Rfam family "Bacterial small subunit ribosomal RNA", at positions 62 to 875 of the family's 1533-position model. The record is from RNAcentral.